GACGUAGGUGGCGAGCGUUGUCCGGAAUUACUGGGCGUAAAGGGCGUGUAGGCGGCCAUUCAAGUCAGGCGUGAAAUCCCUGGGCUUAACCCUGGGACUGCGUUUGAAACUGGGUGGCUUGAGGACAGGAGAGGAAAGCGGAACUCCGUGUGUAGCGGUGAAAUGCGUAGAUAUACGGAAGAACACCAGUGGCGAAGGCGGCUUUCUGGACUGUCCCUGACGCUGAGGCGCGAAAGCCAGGGGAGCGAACGGG
Molecule: ribosomal RNA, 253 nt
Filed under: uncultured bacterium
Lineage: Bacteria
Description: partial 16S ribosomal RNA
Rfam family: Bacterial small subunit ribosomal RNA
Source: RNAcentral